RNAcentral lists this unclassified non-coding RNA (432 nucleotides) under fungal sp. Its description in RNAcentral is "partial internal transcribed spacer region". The stretch from base 1 to 46 matches the Rfam family "Eukaryotic small subunit ribosomal RNA", at positions 1786 to 1831 of the family's 1831-position model. Lineage: Eukaryota; Fungi. The record is from RNAcentral.
AAGUCGUAACAAGGUUUCCGUAGGUGAACCUGCGGAAGGAUCAUUACCAAAGAACAACUGGUUGGGUUGUUGCUGGCCCCCCUCUCCCUGGAGGGGCACUGUGCACGCCUUGCCAAAUUCACUUUGCUCACCUGUGCACCUCCUUGUAGGCCAGGAUCACCAGAGAGGAAGAAGGGGGGGGGGAAACGUGUCUCCUGUCGGAGUGCUCAACUUCUUUCCUUUUGCUUGGUGGAGGGAUCUGCUGUUGUGUCCUCACACGGAAUGGGUAUCUGUGAGAGAACAGAUAUAGACGGCUUUUUCCUUGCUCACGUCUGGCCUAUGCCUUUAUUAAACCUGUAACAUCUGUAUCUGUAUGUGUAUUUGAACAUGUGGGAUAACCACGAUUGUUUUUGAACACCAAUACAACUUUCAACAACGGAUCUCUUGGCUCUC